AGAUAAAGAAGAUUUUUUAGUCGUACCUUUUGUAUCAGGGGAGUUUAAAAAUUUUAGUAAUAAAAUUAUAUCGAUUAGUUCGGAAUUUUUUAUGUAGUAUUAGUAGCACUUAGUAGUAUAAUAUAUUAAGGGGUGAAAAGUGUGCGACGGGCUUGGUAUCUAUUUGCUUUGAGAUUAUAGGGUUAAGCUUUUAUAUAUCUGUCAUUUGGGCAAAGUUAGAAAAAUUAGGCUUUGAAUUAGCCAGUAUUAUAUGUUGUUUUAAACAAUUUUUGUAAAAUUAUUUUUAGGUAGAAUUAAAAGACUAUACUAGUUUGUUUAUACUGGUAUAAAUAAUGAAUUUAUUGAAUAAUAAAUGGAAUUUGAAAAUAACUCAGAUUAAGCUAGAAAGUUUAUCAAAAACAUUUCUUUUUUUGUUGAAAGUAGGGCCUGCCCAGUGAAGAUUUAACGGCUGCAGUAUUUUGACUGUGCUAAGGUAGCAUAAUAAUUUGUUUUUUAAUUGAGGACUGGAAUGAAAGGUUUAACUAGUUUAUUUUAUUUUUUUAGUUAAGUAGGAAAUUUAAGUAAGGGUAAGAAUUCUUUUAUAGUCUAGGGGACGAUAAGACCCUAGAAGCUUUAUAAUAAGAAUAGUAGUUAUUUGGUUGGGACUAAUUUGUUUUACUGGGGCGGUAGUAGUAAAUAGACUAUAAUGUAUGUGGUAGAUCCUUAAUAUUUGGAUAAAACGUGUUAGUUACUCUAGGGAUAACAGUGUAAUAUUUUUGGAGAGAUCUUAUUGAUAGAAAUGUUUGCAACCUCGAUGUUGAAUUAGAAUUUCUACUAGAUGCAGUAGGCUAGUAAGCGGGUUUGUUCAACC
Molecule: ribosomal RNA, 850 nt
Filed under: Gammarus translucidus
Lineage: Eukaryota; Metazoa; Arthropoda; Malacostraca; Amphipoda; Gammaridae
Description: partial 16S ribosomal RNA
Rfam family: Bacterial large subunit ribosomal RNA (bases 591-850)
Source: RNAcentral